CUUGCCCCUAGAAGCAUUGCAUGUGUGGCUGCUAUGUCACAUGUACAUCAGUAGGUGGUAGAGAGGAGAGAGGCCAUUUCUACGCUCAGUGUUCUGACCUGUGAUUAGUUGUGAUUAGUAAUGACCAGUGAUU
Small nucleolar RNA from Arvicanthis niloticus (Nile rat), 133 nucleotides. RefSeq annotates it as small nucleolar RNA SNORA17. NCBI's taxonomy places the organism in Eukaryota, Metazoa, Chordata, Mammalia, Rodentia, Muridae. The record is from RefSeq and is a predicted model, not a curated record.